Molecule: ribosomal RNA, 960 nt
Filed under: uncultured bacterium
Lineage: Bacteria
Description: bacterial SSU rRNA
Rfam family: Bacterial small subunit ribosomal RNA
Source: RNAcentral
GUCGAGGGGCAGCAUGAACUUAGCUUGCUAAGUUKGAUGGCGACCGGCGCACGGGUGAGUAACACGUAUCCAACCUGCCGAUGACUCGGGGAUAGCCUUUCGAAAGAAAGAUUAAUACCCGAUGGCAUAGUUCUUCCGCAUGGUGGAACUAUUAAAGAAUUUCGGUCAUCGAUGGGGAUGCGUUCCAUUAGGUUGUUGGCGGGGUAACGGCCCACCAAGCCUUCGAUGGAUAGGGGUUCUGAGAGGAAGGUCCCCCACAUUGGAACUGAGACACGGUCCAAACUCCUACGGGAGGSAGCAGUGAGGAAUAUUGGUCAAUGGACGAGAGUCUGAACCAGCCAAGUAGCGUGAAGGAUGACUGCCCUAUGGGUUGUAAACUUCUUUUACACGGGAAUAAAGUGAGGCACGUGUGCCUUUUUGUAUGUACCGUAUGAAUAAGGAUCGGCUAACUCCGUGCCAGCAGCCGCGGUAAUACGGAGGAUCCGAGCGUUAUCCGGAUUUAUUGGGUUUAAAGGGAGCGUAGGCGGACGCUUAAGUCAGUUGUGAAAGUUUGCGGCUCARCCGUAAAAUUGCAGUUGAUACUGGGUGUCUUGAGUACAGUAGAGGCAGGCGGAAUUCGUGGUGUAGCGGUGAAAUGCUUAGAUAUCACGAAGAACUCCGAUUGCGAAGGCAGCUUGCUGGACUGUAACUGACGCUGAUGCUCGAAAGUGUGGGUAUCAAACAGGAUUAGAUACCCUGGUAGUCCACACAGUAAACGAUGAAUACUCGCUGUUUGCGAUAUACAGUAAGCGGCCAAGCGAAAGCGUUAAGUAUUCCACCUGGGGAGUACGCCGGCAACGGUGAAACUCAAGGAAUUGACGGGGGCCCGCACAAGCGGAGGAACAUGUGGUUUAAUUCGAUGAUACGCGAGGAACYUUACCCGGGCUUGAAUUGCAACUGAAUGAUGUGGAGACAUGUCAG